Molecule: long non-coding RNA, 1832 nt
Organism: Mesoplodon densirostris (Blainville's beaked whale)
Lineage: Eukaryota; Metazoa; Chordata; Mammalia; Artiodactyla; Ziphiidae
Exons: 7
Source: RefSeq, a predicted model, not a curated record
GACCCUGAUGACUCAGCCUAUGUAAGCUUCAACGUCUUCAUCUGAAAAAUGGGAUGAUAGUAUUUACCUUAUUGGCUGUUGUGUGGAUUAAAUGAGGCCAUGCCCAUGGAUGAACAAUGUUGGAUGCCCAGUAAUCAGCCAGUAAUUGGAAGCUUUAUUCACAAUAACAAUGGUGGUAGCAACAGAAGCAGCCAAAGCACCUGGAUGAUCACAGAAGCAUCUGGAUGAUCACAAAAGCAAGGGGGUCCCUCGUUUUCAUCUUGCACAAGGCUUUGCAGUUUGUGCAGCCGCCUCUGCAGGGAGCGCUGGGGUCAGAAUCCUGCUCGGCACCGCGGGAACCUCGGGUAACUCUCUUUACCGGUUGGAGUCGCAGUUUCUUCCCAUCUGGACAACGGGGGCAAUACUUCACAGUUGUUGAGGAUUAAGGCCCAUUCUAUCCAUGCCACUUGAUUCCACAAGCUGGAAGAAUUGCUGCUCGCUCCAUUGUUUCCCUCGAUCCCUUUUCUGUGGGUCAGGAAUUUGGGAACAGCUCGGCUGGAGGCUCCUGCUCAGGGUCUCUCCUGCAGUUGCCGUCCAAGUGUCAGCUGGAGCUGUACGUGAAGGCUUGACUGGGACUGGAGGAUCCUCAUCCGAAGUGGCUCACUCUUAUGACGUUCACGGGACUACAUGGCCUUGGCCCUCCGCCAGUGAUGUCUUCACUCCAAAGCAGCCUGACUCUUCAACUCAAGUGACCUUAUGUGGCCCAGGUUAAGAGCAUAAACUCGGGAUCCAUUCUGCCUAGAUUUUAAUCCCGGCUCUCUACUUCCCAGCUGUGUGACCCUGGAACUCAGAGGACGUCCUGCCUCACCCAGUCUUUUGCAAAGGAGUCCCAGCAAAGGAGAGGUGCCUGACUAGGGAAUCCUACAUACCUACCAACGUCCAAAGGGCCAAAACUGGUAAGAACUGUUGAGAACCUAUGAUACAACUACAGUGAGUUAAAUGGUGUCCCCCCAAAACUCAUGUCCACCGUGAACCUCAGAAUGUUACCUUAUUUGGAAAUAAAGUCUUUGCAAUGUAAUUGGUUAAAGAUCAAGAUGAGAUCAUACUGGAUUAGGAUGGGCCCUAAAUCCAACGACUGGUGUCCUUAGAAGAAGGAAAGAGGAUACACAGAGGGAAGAAGGCCAUGUGAAGACAGAUGCAGAGAUUGGAGUGAUGCCACCAUAAGCCAAGGAACAACCGGAAUCACCAGGAACUGAAAGAGCAAGGAAGGAUCCCCUGUAGAAACUUCAGAGAGAGCACAGCCCUGCUGACAACUUGACUUGGGACUUCCGGCCUCUAGAACUGUGGGAGAGUAAAUUCCUGUUGUUUUAAGCCACCCCAGUUUGUAGUACUUUGUUGCAGCAGCCUGAGGAAACUAAUCCACCAAUCAUCUCAGUUUACAGAGGAAGAAACCAAGUCCUGAAGAGAAACCAAGGUCAUCACUGUUCACCCGCAGAAAGGUAGCAGCUAAACGGGCUAGAACCCAGCCCUCAACCCCCAUCCAGGGCUCUCCCCUUAGGGAAUGCCCCAAGUCUUUGGCAUAUGAUCUCACACCUAGGUUUGGGCCAGAGGAAGGCCUCUUUUGACAGGGCCACGUAUCCCUGUGUGUGUAUGUCCUCCCCAGAGAGCACUCAGUGAGUGGAACCCACUUUUCCCGAUAAUGACUUACUCCUCAGUUCUGGGUGAGAGCUCUGACUGGUACAUCAUCUUGAGACUGCCAAGUUUGCUUGUAGCUGUCAUGAAAGAGGAAAUGCCAGCAAGCCCCCUCCGCCUGCUGAGAAGUUAAUCUCCAGAGACCUUGCUGACUGGACACA